GACGAACGCUGGCGGCGUGCUUAACACAUGCAAGUGGAGCGACGAACCAGGGCUUGCCCUGGGGCAGAGCCGCGAACGGGUGAGUAACACGUGGGUAACCUACCUCGAUGACCGGGACAACCCGAGGAAACUCGGGCUAAUACCGGAUGUGCUCCGUCCUCUCAAGGGGACUGAGUAAAGAUAGCUUUCGCCUUCGCAUCGAGACGGGCCCGCGGCCCAUUAGCUUGUUGGUGAGGUAACGGCUCACCAAGGCUGCGAUGGGUAGCUGGUCUGAGAGGACGAUCAGCCACACUGGGACUGAGACACGGCCCAGACUCCUACGGGAGGCAGCAGUGGGGAAUCUUGCGCAAUGCGCGAAAGCGUGACGCAGCAACGCCGCGUGGGGGAAGAAGGCCUUCGGGUUGUAAACCCCUUUCAGUUGGGACGAAGCUUCGAGGGUUAAUAGCUCUCUGGAGUGACGGUACCUUCAGAAGAAGCCCCGGCUAACUACGUGCCAGCCGCCGCAGUAACAC
Molecule: ribosomal RNA, 512 nt
Filed under: uncultured bacterium
Lineage: Bacteria
Description: bacterial SSU rRNA
Rfam family: Bacterial small subunit ribosomal RNA
Source: RNAcentral